Molecule: unclassified non-coding RNA, 154 nt
Filed under: uncultured Helotiales
Lineage: Eukaryota; Fungi; Ascomycota; Leotiomycetes; Helotiales
Source: RNAcentral
CAGAGUUCAUGCCCUAACGGGUAGAUCUCCCACCCUUGUGUAGUAUAAAUAUCUGUUGCUUUGGCGGGUCGCGAGCUCACCCUCGCCCUGUGUACCCGCCAGAGGACCAAUAAACUCUGAAUGUUAGUGUCGUCUGAGUACUAUAUAAUAGUUA